RNAcentral lists this ribosomal RNA (468 nucleotides) under uncultured bacterium. RNAcentral describes it as "partial 16S ribosomal RNA". It matches the Rfam family "Bacterial small subunit ribosomal RNA", at positions 28 to 507 of the family's 1533-position model. The record is from RNAcentral.
GACGAACGCUGGCGGCGUGCUUAACACAUGCAAGUCGAACGGAAAGGCCCUGCUUUUGUGGGGUGCUCUAGAGGCGAACGGGUGAGUAACACGUGAGUAACACGCCCUUGACUUUGGGAUAACUUCAGGAAACUGGGGCUAAUACCGGAUAGGAGCUCCUGCUGCACGGUGGGGGUUGGAAAGUUUCGGCGGUUGGGGAUGGACUCGCGGCUUAUCAGCUUGUUGGGGGGGUAGGGGCUUACCAAGGCUUUGACGGGUAGCCGGCCUGAGAGGGUGACCGGCCACAUUGGGCCUGAGAUACGGCCCAGACUCCUACGGGAGGCAGCAGUGGGGAAUAUUGCACAAUGGGCGGAAGCCUGAUGCAGCAACGCCGCGUGCGGGAUGACGGCCUUCGGGUUGUAAACCGCUUUCGCCUGUGACGAAGCGUGAGUGACGGUAAUGGGUAAAGAAGCACCGGCUAACUACGUG